UACAGAGGUCUCAAGCGUUGUUCGGAAUUACUGGACGUAAAGGGUGCGCAGGCCGCGCGGGCAGUCAAAUGUGUAAUCCAGGGGCUCAACCCCUGAACUGCGCUUGAUACUUCCGCGCUCGAGCUUUGGAGAGGAGUCUGGAAUUCUCGGUGUAGCAGUGAAAUGCGUGGAUAUCGAGAAGAACACUUAGGGCGUAGGCAAGACUCUGGACAAAUGCUGACGCUCAUGCACGAAGGCUAGGGUAGCGAACGGG
Molecule: ribosomal RNA, 253 nt
Filed under: uncultured bacterium
Lineage: Bacteria
Description: partial 16S ribosomal RNA
Rfam family: Bacterial small subunit ribosomal RNA
Source: RNAcentral